UAAGGAGGGUGCGAGCGUUAUCCGGAAUUACUGGGUUUAAAGGGUGCGUAGGCGGCUUUGUAAGUCAGGAGUGAAAGUUUGCGGCUCAACCGUAAAAUUGCUUUUGAUACUGCAGAGCUAGAAUCAGGAUGAGGUUAGCGGAAUGUGGCAUGUAGCGGUGAAAUGCAUAGAUAUGCCAUAGAACACCAAUUGCGAAGGCAGCUGGCUAGACCUGCAUUGACGCUGAGGCACGAAAGCGUGGGGAGCGAACAGG
This 253-nucleotide ribosomal RNA is filed under the name uncultured bacterium. RNAcentral describes it as "partial 16S ribosomal RNA". It matches the Rfam family "Bacterial small subunit ribosomal RNA", at positions 524 to 776 of the family's 1533-position model. The record is from RNAcentral.